CAGUCGCGCGGGAAUACGUAGGGUGCAAGCGUUAAUCGGAAUUACUGGGCGUAAAGCGUGCGUAGGCGGCUUCUUAAGUCGGAUGUGAAAUCCCUGAGCUUAACUUAGGAAUUGCAUUCGAUACUGGGAAGCUAGAGUAUGGGAGAGGAUGGUAGAAUUCCAGGUGUAGCGGUGAAAUGCGUAAAGAUCUGGAGGAAUACCGAUGGCGAAGGCAGCCAUCUGGCCUAAUACUGACGCUGAGGUACGAAAGCAUGGGGAGCAAACAGGAUUAGAUACCCCCGUAGUCCCUGUCUCUUAUACC
RNAcentral lists this ribosomal RNA (301 nucleotides) under uncultured bacterium. RNAcentral describes it as "partial 16S ribosomal RNA". It matches the Rfam family "Bacterial small subunit ribosomal RNA", at positions 509 to 808 of the family's 1533-position model. The record is from RNAcentral.